UACGAGUGCCCCAAGCGUUAUCCGGAAUCAUUGGGCGUAAAGGGUGUGUAGGCGGUUUUGUUAGUCUUCUGUCAAAUUCUUCGGCUUAACCGGGGGUCCGCAGGAGAAACGGCAAAACUAGAGGAUGCGAGAGGUGAAUGGAACUCAUGGAGUAGGGGUGAAAUCCGUUGAUAUCAUGGGGAACACCGAAUGCGAAGGCAGUUCACUGGCGCACUCCUGACGCUGAGACACGAAAGCGUAGGUAGCGAAUGGG
This 253-nucleotide ribosomal RNA is filed under the name uncultured bacterium. Its description in RNAcentral is "partial 16S ribosomal RNA". It matches the Rfam family "Bacterial small subunit ribosomal RNA", at positions 524 to 776 of the family's 1533-position model. The record is from RNAcentral.